GGCCGGGUAGCUCAGUUGGUAGAGCAGAGGACUGAAAAUCCUUGUGUCGUCGGUUCGAUUCCGACCUUGGCCACCA
This 76-nucleotide transfer RNA is filed under the name Puniceicoccales bacterium. RNAcentral's name for it is "tRNA-Phe". It matches the Rfam family "tRNA". From Rfam's summary of the family: Transfer RNA (tRNA) molecules are approximately 80 nucleotides in length. Lineage: Bacteria; Pseudomonadati; Verrucomicrobiota; Opitutia; Puniceicoccales. The record is from RNAcentral.